CACAAAUACAAUAUGAAGGCUUCGGCUGGAUUAUUUAUUUCACCCUUGUCUUUUGCGCACUUGUUGUUUCCUGGGCGGGUUCGCCCGCCACCAGGACCACACCAUAAACCUUUUUUGUUUAAUGCAUUCAGCGUCAGUAUAACAAAUGUAAAUCAUUUA
This 159-nucleotide unclassified non-coding RNA is filed under the name uncultured fungus. RNAcentral's name for it is "sequence contains ITS1". Lineage: Eukaryota; Fungi. The record is from RNAcentral.